UACGGGGGGGGCAAGCGUUGUUCGGAAUUACUGGGCGUAAAGGGCUCGUAGGCGGCCAACUAAGUCGGAUGUGAAAUCCCCAGGCUUAACCUGGGAACUGCAUCCGAUACUGGAUGGCUUGAAUUCGGGAGAGGGAUGCAGAAUUCCAGGUGUAGCGGUGAAAUGCGUAGAUAUCUGGAGGAACACCGGUGGCGAAGGCGGCGUCCUGGACCAACACUGACACUGAGGAGCGAAAGCCAGGGGAGCAAACGGG
RNAcentral lists this ribosomal RNA (253 nucleotides) under uncultured bacterium. RNAcentral describes it as "partial 16S ribosomal RNA". It matches the Rfam family "Bacterial small subunit ribosomal RNA", at positions 524 to 776 of the family's 1533-position model. The record is from RNAcentral.